RNAcentral lists this ribosomal RNA (2502 nucleotides) under Triticum aestivum (bread wheat). Its description in RNAcentral is "partial small subunit ribosomal RNA". The record is from RNAcentral. Lineage: Eukaryota; Viridiplantae; Streptophyta; Magnoliopsida; Poales; Poaceae.
AUGGCCGGCGGUGGGGCGAAGGUGGCGUCGCACGGCGCGUUCCAGGGGGAGAACCCCCUGGACUACGCGCUGCCGCUCAUCAUCCUGCAGAUCUGCCUCGUCAUCGUCGUCACCAGAGGCCUCGCCUACCUCCUCCGCCCGCUCCGCCAGCCCCGGGUCAUCGCCGAGAUCAUCGGUCGUCGCCACCGCAUAAGAGGGUGGGUGGUUAGAGGGUGGGCGCCGAAGGAUGGACUGACGCAGGAGGCGGCUUGGGGGGAUGAGGGCGGGAUCCUGCUCGGCCCGUCGGCGCUUGGCCGGAGCACCACGUUCCUGGACGCCGUCUUCCCGGCGCGCAGCAUGGUGGUGCUGGACACGCUGGCCAACCUGGGGCUCCUCUUCUUCCUCUUCCUCGUCGGCCUCGAGCUCGACCUCAACGCCAUCCGCCGCACCGGCAAGAAGGCGCUGGCCAUCUCCCUCUCCGGCAUCGCCGUCCCUUUCGCCAUCGGCAUCGGCACCUCCUUCGCCUUCCGCGCCACCCUCCCCGGUCUCCAGGACUCGCCCAAGGCGCCCUUCCUGGUCUUCAUGGGCGUCGCGCUCUCCAUCACCGCCUUCCCGGUGCUCGCGCGCAUCCUCACCGAGCUCAAGCUCCUCACCACCGACCUCGGACGCAUGGCCAUGUCGGCCGCCGCGGUCGACGACGUCACGGCCUGGAUCCUGCUCGCGCUCGCCAUCGCGCUUUCGGGGACCGGCUCACCCAUCAUCUCGCUCUGGGUGCUCCUCACCGCCGUCGGCUUCGUCGCCGCCGUGUUCGUGCUCCUCCGCCCGCUGCUCGCGUGGAUGGCGCGGCGGUCCCCCGAAGGCGAGCCCGUCAAGGAGGUGUACAUCGUCGCCACGCUCGCCCUCGUUCUCGCCGCCGGCUUCGUCACCGACGUCAUCGGCAUCCACGCUCUGUUCGGCGCGUUCAUGGUCGGCAUCGUCGUCCCCAAGGACGGGCCGUUCGCCGGAGUGCUCCUCGAGAAGGUAGAGGAGCUCAUCUCCGGCCUCUUCCUCCCGCUUUACUUUGUCUCCAGUGGGCUCAAGACCAACGUGGCCACCAUCCGGGGAGCCAAGUCGUGGGGCCUCCUCGUGCUCGUCAUCCUCAACGCCUGCGUCGGCAAGAUCGGCGGCGCCGUCGGCACGUGCCUCCUCGUCAAGAUCCCAUUCCGGGAGGCCAUCACAAUCGGUUUCCUCAUGAACACCAAGGGGCUCGUCGAGCUCGUGGUGCUCAACAUCGGCAGGGACCGCAAGGUGCUCAACGACGAGGCCUUCGCCAUCAUGGUGCUCAUGGCCUUGUUUACAACUUUCAUCACCACGCCGAUUGUCAUGGCCGUCUACAAGCCGGCGCGCCCGUCGGCGUCGCUCCCGUACAAGCGCCGCACCGUCGGUGGGGACGACGUGGACGGCGAGCUUCGUGUGCUCGCCUGCUUCCACGGCUACCGCAACAUCCCUACGCUGCUCAACCUCGUCGAGCUCUCGCGGGGCACUCGCCGCCGCCUCGUCGUAUACGCCAUGCACCUCGUCGAGCUUUCCGAGCGGUCGUCGGCCAUCUCCAUGGUGCACCGAACGCGCCGCAACGCCUUGCCCUUCUUCAGCAACAACAGGUCGUCGUCGGAGACGACGACGGAGGUGGCGUUCGAGGCGUUCCAGCAGUUGAGCACCGUGAGGGUGCGGCCCAUGACGGCCAUCUCGGUCCUGGACACCAUCCACCGGGACAUCAUCGACAGCGCCGCCUCCAAGCGCGCCGCCGUGGUCAUCGUGCCGUACCACAAGACGCUCCAGGCCGACGGCUCCUUCCACUCGCUCGGCUCCGCCUACCACGCCGUCAACAAGCGCGUGCUCCGGGAGGCGCCGUGCUCCGUCGCCAUCCUCGUCGACCGCGGCCUCGGCGGUCACUCCCAGGUUGCCGCCCAGAACGUGGCCUUCACGGUCUCCGUGCUCUUCUUCGGCGGGCCGGACGACCGGGAGGCGCUGGCCUACGCGACGCGCAUGGCGGAGCACCCCGGCGUCGCCGUCACCAUGUCACGUUUCCAGCCCAACCGUGCUUUUCCCGAGGACGGCGAGGACGUCGCCGACGAAGCGGCGGUGGAGGCGUUCAAGGCCAGGGUCGCCGCCGCGGUGCAGGACGGGUCCGUGCGGUUCGAGGAGCGGGAGGCGCGCACCAAGGAGGAGGUGCUGGAGACCAUCGCCUCGCUGUCCAAGUGCAACGUGUUCGUGGUGGGGCGGAUACCGCCGACGGCCCCUCUGGUGGAGAACGCCGACGAGCUGGGCCCAGUGGGGAGCUACCUCGCGUCGGCGGAGUUCAAGACGUCGGCGUCGGUGCUGGUCGUCAAGAGGUACGACCCGGCGACGAACCCCAAGAGCAUGAGGUUCGACCCCAAGGCGAGGCCGCCGGUCGCGACCGACGUGGAUGACGAGGAGAUGGGCGGCGCCGGCGCCACGGUGGUGCCCGUGCCAUGGUCGCCGUCGCCGAGCGAACUUGCCUGA